Molecule: ribosomal RNA, 253 nt
Filed under: uncultured bacterium
Lineage: Bacteria
Description: partial 16S ribosomal RNA
Rfam family: Bacterial small subunit ribosomal RNA
Source: RNAcentral
UACGUAGGGUGCAAGCGUUAAUCGGAAUUACUGGGCGUAAAGGGCGCGUAGGCGGCUGUACAAGUCAAAGGUGAAAUCCCUCGGCUCAACUGAGGAACUGCCUUUGAAACUGUACGGCUUGAGGCCGGGAGGGGGUAGCGGAAUUCCCAAUGUAGCGGUGAAAUGCGUAGAUAUUGGGAGGAACACCAGUGGCGAAGGCGGCUACCUGGACCGGUUCUGACGCUGAUGCGCGAAAGCGUGGGUAGCAAACAGG